RNAcentral lists this ribosomal RNA (492 nucleotides) under uncultured bacterium. RNAcentral's name for it is "partial 16S ribosomal RNA". It matches the Rfam family "Bacterial small subunit ribosomal RNA", at positions 29 to 507 of the family's 1533-position model. The record is from RNAcentral.
AGUGAACGCUGGCGGUAGGCCUAACACAUGCAAGUCGAACGGCAGCACAGUAAGAGCUUGCUCUUACGGGUGGCGAGUGGCGGACGGGUGAGGAAUACAUCGGAAUCUACUUUUUCGUGGGGGAUAACGUAGGGAAACUUACGCUAAUACCGCAUACGACCUACGGGUGAAAGCAGGGGAUCUUCGGACCUUGCGCGAUUGAAUGAGCCGAUGUCGGAUUAGCUAGUUGGCGGGGUAAAGGCCCACCAAGGCGACGAUCCGUAGCUGGUCUGAGAGGAUGAUCAGCCACACUGGAACUGAGACACGGUCCAGACGCCUACGAGAGGCAGCAGUGGGGAAUAUUGGACAAUGGGCGCAAGCCUGAUCCAGCCAUACCGCGUGGGUGAAGAAGGCCUUCGGGUUGUAAAGCCCUUUUGUUGGGAAAGAAAAGCAGCAGGUUAAUACCCCGCUGUUCUGACGGUACCCAAAGAAUAAGCACCGGCUAACUUCGUG